Molecule: transfer RNA, 74 nt
Filed under: Minisyncoccota bacterium
Lineage: Bacteria; Bacillati; Minisyncoccota
Description: tRNA-Met
Rfam family: tRNA
About the family: Transfer RNA (tRNA) molecules are approximately 80 nucleotides in length. Their secondary structure includes four short double-helical elements and three loops (D, anti-codon, and T loops).
Source: RNAcentral
GUCGGGGUAGCUCAGCUGGUUAGAGCAUGGCAUUCAUAAAGCCAAGGUCGUGGGUUCGAUUCCCACCCUCGACA